Molecule: ribosomal RNA, 594 nt
Filed under: Enterococcus casseliflavus
Lineage: Bacteria; Bacillati; Bacillota; Bacilli; Lactobacillales; Enterococcaceae
Description: bacterial SSU rRNA
Rfam family: Bacterial small subunit ribosomal RNA
Source: RNAcentral
CCUUCAAUGCAUGACGGAGGGUGGGGCAUUCUUUUGCUGUGGCUUUCUAAUUUUGCGUCACUGAUGGAUGGACCCGCGGUGCAUUAGCUAGUUGGUGAGGUAACGGCUCACCAAGGCAACGAUGCAUAGCCGACCUGAGAGGGUGAUCGGCCACACUGGGACUGAGACACGGCCCAGACUCCUACGGGAGGCAGCAGUAGGGAAUCUUCGGCAAUGGACGAAAGUCUGACCGAGCAACGCCGCGUGAGUGAAGAAGGUUUUCGGAUCGUAAAACUCUGUUGUUAGAGAAGAACAAGGAUGAGAGUAAAAUGUUCAUCCCUUGACGGUAUCUAACCAGAAAGCCACGGCUAACUACGUGCCAGCAGCCGCGGUAAUACGUAGGUGGCAAGCGUUGUCCGGAUUUAUUGGGCGUAAAGCGAGCGCAGGCGGUUUCUUAAGUCUGAUGUGAAAGCCCCCGGCUCAACCGGGGAGGGUCAUUGGAAACUGGGAGACUUGAGUGCAGAAGAGGAGAGUGGAAUUCCAUGUGUAGCGGUGAAAUGCGUAGAUAUAUGGAGGAACACCAGUGGCGAAGGCGGCUCUCUGGUCUGUAACUGA